This is a long non-coding RNA of Chrysemys picta bellii (western painted turtle), 1112 nucleotides long. Lineage: Eukaryota; Metazoa; Chordata; Testudines; Emydidae. The record is from Ensembl.
CAAGGACAACAGUCAAUGCCCUCAGUUUUGUUCAUUUCAGAACCUCAGCCCGGGAUCAUUGGCAGAUGCCUUCACGAUUCCGUGGGGAGGGAGCCUGAGGUAUGCCUUCCCUCCGUUCCCGCUCAUCCACAAGGUCCUCCUCAAGACCUGCAGGGACAGGGCGAUAAUUAUACUCAUCGCCCCGGCCUGGCCACGCCAGCAUUGGUUCACGACCCUGCUGGAAUUGUCCAUAGCCGACCCGAUCAUCCUCCCACUCCAUCGUGACCUAGUCACACAAGACAGGGGUCGCCUGCUCCACCCGAACCUGUCAUCGCUACAUCUCACGGCGUGGUAUCUCUCUGGCUGAACGAUGCGGAACACAUGUGCUCUCACCGGGUUCAACAAAUUCUCCUUAGUAGUAGGAAGCCCUCCACAAGAGAGACCUACCUGGCCAAAUGGAAGAGGUUCUCCCACUGGUGCGAGCCUCAGCACAUACAGCCUCUACAGGCCUCAGUUCUGUCGAUCCUGGACUACUUACUACAUCUCAAGCAUCAGGGGCUUGCCCCCACCUCGAUUAAAGUGCAUUUAGCUGCCAUUUCGGCAUUCCAUCCGGGAGAGUUGGGAGUGUCAGUGUUCUCCAACCCCACGGUAGCCCGAUUCCUCAAGGGGCUGGAGAGGGUGUUUCCCUACUUGCGCCCACCGGUCCCUGCGUGGAGUCUGAACCUAGUCCUAACUAAGCUCAUGGGGCCCCCCUUUGAACCCCUAGCCACUUGCUCCCUCAUGCACCUCUCGUGGAAGGUGGCGUUUCUCGUGGCCAUCACAUCAGCCAGGAGGGUAUCGGAAUUGAGGGCCCUCACUUCAGAACCCCCUUAUACAGUUUUUCAUAAGGAUAAGGUGCAACUGAGGCCGCACCCCAAAUUCCUCCCGAAAGUGGUAUCGCAGUUUCACAUGGGACAGGACAUUUGUCUACCGGUGUUCUUCCCUAAACCCCAUACGGACCCUCAUCACCGCAGCCUAUAUACCCUCAAUGUUCGAAGGGCAUUGGCGUUUUACCUGGAGCGGACCAGGUUGUUCCGCAGAACACCUCAGCUGUUUAUUGCCGUUGCGGAACGUAUGAGAGGCCUGCCUAUCUU